AGCGAACGCUGGCGGCAUGCUUAACACAUGCAAGUCGCACGGGGAGCGAUGUGAUUGCUGCACGGGAUAAGAACGCGUAGGGACGUUUACUGGGGUGGAGGCCACCCCCGGGAAAGGGAUAACUAUAGGGCACAUUAGCUAAUACCCAAAGCCGAGGGGAGCGUCUGGAGCGGCGUGCGGACGGUUAGGUAGUUGGUGUGGUAAAGGCCUACCAAGCCUGUGAUCGGUAGCUGGUGUGAGAGGACGACCAGCCACACUGGGGCUGAGGCACGGCCCAGACUCCUAGGGGAGGCAGCAGUGGGGAAUAUUGGACAAUGGGCGAAAGCCUAAUCCAGCAAUGCCGGGUGGGUGAGGAAGGUCUUCGGAUCGUAAAGCCCUUUGGAAGGAGACGAUGGUGACGGUACCUGUAGAAGAAGCCCCGGCUAACUACGUG
Molecule: ribosomal RNA, 433 nt
Filed under: uncultured bacterium
Lineage: Bacteria
Description: partial 16S ribosomal RNA
Rfam family: Bacterial small subunit ribosomal RNA
Source: RNAcentral